This 207-nucleotide ribosomal RNA is filed under the name uncultured bacterium. RNAcentral describes it as "partial 16S ribosomal RNA". It matches the Rfam family "Bacterial small subunit ribosomal RNA", at positions 568 to 774 of the family's 1533-position model. The record is from RNAcentral.
CUCGUAGGCGGUUUGUCGCGUCUGCCGUGAAAGUCCGGGGCUCAACUCCGGAUCUGCGGUGGGUACGGGCAGACUAGAGUGAUGUAGGGGAGACUGGAAUUCCUGGUGUAGCGGUGAAAUGCGCAGAUAUCAGGAGGAACACCGAUGGCGAAGGCAGGUCUCUGGGCAUUAACUGACGCUGAGGAGCGAAAGCGAUGGGAGCGAACA